Molecule: unclassified non-coding RNA, 340 nt
Filed under: air metagenome
Description: partial contains small subunit ribosomal RNA, internal transcribed spacer 1, and 5.8S ribosomal RNA
Rfam family: Eukaryotic small subunit ribosomal RNA (bases 1-46)
Source: RNAcentral
AAGUCGUAACAAGGUUUCCGUAGGUGAACCUGCGGAAGGAUCAUUAUCGAAUUGUAAGGACUUGGUUGUCGCUGGCUUUUCCAUCUGGGGGAGCAUGUGCACGCCAAGUUCAAACUCUUCACUUCAACCUCCUGUGCACUUUUGUGGAUCGCGGAUGGAAAACUUGUCAAAGUAACAUUUGGUUUUGGGGUUUGCUUAAUUCGCUUUCCUCUGCAUCCGUCCGCGGUUCAUGUCUUUUAACAAACUAUUUAAUACAACUUUGAAUGCUUAACGAGUUGGGAACUUUUUGUAACCCUUCUUAAAUCUUAUACAACUUUCAACAACGGAUCUCUUGGCUCUC